This is a ribosomal RNA of 405 nucleotides. It matches the Rfam family "Bacterial small subunit ribosomal RNA", at positions 355 to 774 of the family's 1533-position model.
UGGGGAAUAUUGGUCAAUGGGGGAAACCCUGAACCAGCGACGCCGCGUGAGGGAAGAAGGUUUUCGGACUGUAAACCUCUGUCUUAGGGGACGAAAAAAAUGACGGUACCCUAAGAGGAAGCUACGGCUAACUACGUGCCAGCAGCCGCGGUAAUACGUAGGUAGCGAGCGUUAUCCGGAAUUACUGGGUGUAAAGGGAGCGUAGGCGGGAAAUCAAGUUGCAUGUGAAAUCUAUCGGCUCAACCGGUAGGCUGCGUGCAAAACUGAUUUUCUUGAGUGAAGUAGAGGCAGGCGGAAUUCCCAGUGUAGCGGUGAAAUGCGUAGAUAUUGGGAGGAACACCAGUGGCGAAGGCGGCCUGCUGGGCUUUUACUGACGCUGAGGCUCGAAAGCAUGGGUAGCAAACA